GAUGAACGCUGGCGGCGUGCCUAAUACAUGCAAGUCGUGGGAGCAGAUGAGGAGAUUGCUACAGUGACGUUAGCGGCGGACAGGUGAGUAAAACGUGGAUAACCUUCCUAUAAGACUGGGAUAACUUCGGGAAAACGGAGCUAAUACCGGAUAAUAUAUUGAACCGCAUGGUUCCAUAGUGAAAGACGGUUUUGCUGUCACUUAUAGAUGGAUCCGCGCCGAAUUAGUUAGUUGGUAAGUUAACGGCUUAACAAAGCAACGAUGCGUAGCCGACCUGAGAGGGUGAUCCGCUACACUGCAACGGAGACACGGUCCAGACUCCUACGGUAAGCAGCGUUAGAGAAUCUUCCGCAAUGGGCGAAAGCCUAACGGAGCAACGCCGCGUGAGUUAUGAAGGUCUGCUGAUCUUAGAACUCUGUUAUUAGUGAAGAACAAAUGUGUAAGUAACUAUGCACGUCUUGACGGUACCUAAUCAGAAAGCCACGGCUAACUACGUG
RNAcentral lists this ribosomal RNA (497 nucleotides) under uncultured bacterium. Its description in RNAcentral is "partial 16S ribosomal RNA". It matches the Rfam family "Bacterial small subunit ribosomal RNA", at positions 28 to 507 of the family's 1533-position model. The record is from RNAcentral.